GCCGGGGUAGCUCAGCCAGGCGGAGCACUCGACCACCCUGUGUGGGGUGAAGCUGUUAACCGAGGGGUCCCGGGUUCAAAUCCCGGCCCCGGCG
RNAcentral lists this transfer RNA (94 nucleotides) under Thermofilum adornatum. RNAcentral describes it as "Thermofilum adornatus tRNA". It matches the Rfam family "tRNA". From Rfam's summary of the family: Transfer RNA (tRNA) molecules are approximately 80 nucleotides in length. Their secondary structure includes four short double-helical elements and three loops (D, anti-codon, and T loops). Lineage: Archaea; Thermoproteati; Thermoproteota; Thermoprotei; Thermofilales; Thermofilaceae. The record is from Rfam by way of RNAcentral.